CUUUGGACGAGUGCUCCGUUGGCGCCAUUAUUGCCAUUAGUUUUCUUUGUAUGUCCAGUGAAGUUGCCUUGGGCACUCCCUGUAGCCAUGCUACUGUUCUCUGAGCCACAGUUGGAGGCAGAGUCAGUGUCUGUAGUACAUUCUGAGGCAGAUUCAGUCUCAGCUCCUGUGAUGGAAGGCCACGCUUCCUUGUCAGUCCUGUCUAUUAUCACUUUAUCCCAGCUGCAGUUGCCUUCACUCCUGAAAGUGGGCUGCUGUCCCCAGUGGGAAUUUUCAUAAUGGUCUCCCAAUCCACUGUGACUGAGAUCUGCUUGGGUCUUACUGGGAUGAUGCUGUCCUCCCGCCCCUGGCUGCGGGGGAGGACUCGCCCCUGCUGGCCCAGUGCCUUGUGCCGGGCUGCUGCUCAGAGUCCCGGUGGGCAGCGGCUGCCCUCUCUUUAAGAGCUGCUUCUGUUCUUGCUGGCGGAAGCGUGGAGGCACCUCGCGGGGCAGGUAGCGGGACGCGGCUGGCUGCUGCCCGUUAGCAGAUGCACGCUUGCCAUUGCUGCUGUUGGUGAUAGUGCUGGUGGAAGUACUGGUACCGGUACCGGCAGGUUGGGGCUGGCUUAAACUGGUCUUGAUAGGUUCUGGCACUUUGGUUUUUUGUUCAGCAGCCUUUUUCUGAGCACCUUCCUUCUUUUUCUUUUCUUCCUGCUUUUUCUUUUUCUUUUCUUCCAUCAAAUGUUCCUCUUCUUGUGUUUCUUCUUCUUUCUCCCUUAUGGUCUGCUCUGUGCGGGGCUCUUUGGCAGCUUUCGGUUCGGUCUCGCCGUGAGGAAACGAGCAGGGACGUCGUCUACGAUGGAGGGGGUUUCUCUGACGCGUUCCUUUCUUAUUUUAAAGGUUGUUUGUUGUGUCGGUGGCGGUUGGUUUCCUCCCCCCCUCCCCUCUCUUUCCGUAACUGUACCCGUAAUUUCACGAAUCGAUGCGAAAAAAUCUCACACGGCCAAAAAUAAUCGUUAAAAAAAAAAAAAUCAAGUUUUUGCUGUCGUCGUCGCCGUCUGCCCACAGCCCCCCGAGAGAAAAGACAUGAAAAGGAAUCGAACGGCACGGAGGAGGAGGAGGAGGCGGCGGAGGCGCGCAGACGGAGCGGAGCAGCGGCGGAUCCCGUCGGAGCGCAGCGCGGCUCAGUCCGUGCCCGGAGCACUCUGUCCGCGCUGCAGCCACGAUCCGAAGCGGUGCGGGAGGGGCUGCGCCGCGUCCCGGUGGGUUCAGUCCGCG
Molecule: long non-coding RNA, 1256 nt
Filed under: Gallus gallus (chicken)
Lineage: Eukaryota; Metazoa; Chordata; Aves; Galliformes; Phasianidae
Source: RNAcentral